This 25-nucleotide non-coding RNA is filed under the name Cricetulus griseus (Chinese hamster). The record is from RNAcentral. Lineage: Eukaryota; Metazoa; Chordata; Mammalia; Rodentia; Cricetidae.
AUCUGAAGGUUGACUCACACCAAGC